GUCACUCUGCCCUCCUCGUUCUGGAAGUGCGCUUUCCACCAAUCCGAGCGCCACGUGGGGGUGAUGGAUGCCGGCCCGUGGCCAAUGAGGAGGAGAGGCUGGCGGCGAGGAGUGGGCGGGCCCGCGCUCUCGCUCCCUCCUCCCGCGCGGUCCUCCAGCCCUCCCGGCCCGGGCAUGCUGCUCCUACGCCUGAAAGUCUUCCAUGGUCCCACCCACUGUUCAAAGGCAAAGCCCAGCUUAUAGAAAUGGCUUCCAAGGCCAUUUGUGAUCAGCCCCUGCCUCACAUCCGAGUCCUGUCUGUGUCCUGGAAGGUUGGAUUGACUAAGUCUGACUUCAGCAGUAAUGGAUCAAAGACUUGAAAGCUGCCAAUGUACCGUCCGAGAGUGCUGUCUGCCUGGAGAAAUGCAGAGGUUCAGGGACACGGUUUCAUACUCGGCAUGUGCACAGGUCUAGAUUCAGAUAAAGAGUUGUCUAGGCCUGGGAAGGGAAAUGUUUUGAUUAACACUGGCAUUCGGCAGGGACCUCACUCGGUGUCCUGGUUCAGGCAGCUACUGUUUAUUUAUUCAAUACAAUGAGACAAAGUCAUUGAAGUCCCUAUUGCUGGUAAUUGUCUCAGAAAUUGCAUUCCUUGGCCUCACAAUUAGUUUGAUACAAAGCAGGGAGACACUUGGGUUAAUAACCUUGAGUUUUUAUGACUCAAUCAAUAUUUUGGUUGCUGCAGGCUGCUUUGCAAUUGUAAAUUUUGAGUACAGUGCUUGUGGAGUGUGUAAAUAUUUAGCCAGCCAUUGAAGCAUCAAUUAAUGAAAUCAUUCCUUUAAUUUAGAAGACACCAUUGGCAGCGUGUUGCUAUGAGGUAUUUAUGCUAGUUACUCUCAUAGCUGGGAAACUGGAAUGCUGUCGUGCUCUGUGGCAUAUUACUUUGCCGCUUCACAGGCCCUUACUGCAAAUAUUUCUUGUGGAUUAGCUGCCUUCAGACAGGGCUGCCUAGCCGAGGCCCUUGCCACAGAUGGCUUUGACCUGAUUCUGACUUUAUAACCAUGCUUCUCUGUCUGCUUAAGAUUUGCAGUGUUUUAUUCCAGUGCUUGCUAAUCUCACAGAGUGCUGGGAGUCACAACUGAGAGGGAUUGCUCCAUCCUUCUUUUUAGAGUGGGAUACUGUUAAAAGGAGAAAACCCUGCAUAGUCAGAGCCCCCCCCAAUGGCUCUCAAGUACCAAAGCACUGAGUUCAGUGAUACUUUCUUUUAACUGGGUAUUUUUCUUUUCUUCUUCUGUAAAAUUUGGGUUUUGAGUCAGGCAUGGUGGUGCACGCCUUAUUCAAUCCCAGAACCCAGGAGGCAGAUGCGGGCAGAUCGCUCUGAGUUUGAGGACAGCCUUGUCUACACAGCGAGUUCCAGGUUAGCCAGGGCUACAGAGUGAGCCCCUGCAUGCCCCCCCCAAAAAAAAACCCACCAUGGUUUUGGGGCCUAGGGAGAUGACUAGUGGUAAAAGCACUUGCUGCUCAAGCGUGAGAACCAGAGCUUGGGCACCGAGAACACAUGUAAAUGCCGGUUGGCUGUGGAUGUCCACUGGUGAUUGACAGCUUCGAGUCCCCAGAGUAGGCUGGCUAGCAAGAGUAGCCAUGUUGGCAAGCUCUGGGUUUGAUUGAGAGAGUCUGCUACAACGAAUAAGGUAUAAGAGCACUCAAGGAAUAUUGCCCGCACAACUGUGGGACACCAAAUACACACUCAUAUGAAUGUACCUAUACACAAGCAAAAUGUAUACACGCACGCUUACUGCACACAGAUCAAAAUGGAGAAGGAACUGGGUUUGUGUUUUUGAGACAUGGUCUAAGGUGUAUCAGGCAGGCCUUGAGAUCCUGAAUCUUCUGCUUCCCCCUUCUGAGUGCUGGGAUCAGAGGUGUAUAGCAAUACACCUGGUACUCAACUGGUUGUUCGUCUAAAUCCAAGUUUCCCAAACUAUGCUCCUGGGAAUAUGUUUUCCUGGCUUGCUAAAAGGAUUCUACUUUGCUUCUGUUUGGAAAGUCAAAUUUUAAAAAAAUGGGGAGAAGAAAGAGAAGGAGGAGGCUGCAUCAUCUAGUUAUUAGCUUCUUCAAGCCAAAAGACAUCUUGAGGAUGAAGAAGUGUGCAUACUGUGACCUAUAGUUUUCAACUUGAACUAUUAGGGGGAUUUUAACUCCUUCAUCCUAGAAGGGAGUUAUCUUAAUGCAAUUGUGCUAAUACAUAAUUUCUUGGUGUUGUCGCAAUCACAAACAUGGAAUACAGACUGAGUACUAAAGGACACUAAAGUGUAGUGUUCCAUGCCUGCUAAUCCAGCUGCACGAGAAGCUUAGGCUGGAGGACUGAUGGUUUUGAUUUUUAUCGAGACAGGGUUUCUCUGUGUAGCCCUGGCUGUCUUAGAACUCACUUUGUAGACCAGGAUGGCUUCAAACUCACAGAGAUCUGCCUUCCUCUGCCUCCCAAGUGCUGGGAUUAAAGGCAGGCGCCAUCACCAUCCCACUAAUGCCCAACUUUUAAAUUCAGAUCCUUGUCCUUGCAAUGCUGGUACCUCACUGACUGAGCUCUCUCCUGGAAUCCCCCCACCCUGAGAUACAAUAUUGCUAUGUGGCCCAGGCUAGCCCCAAAAUUCAGUCCUCCAGCCUAAGGUAGGCAUAGUGUCACACACUUGUAACCCCAGUGCCAGGAAGGUAGAGACUGUCUAAAGAAACAAACAAACAAACAACAAAACCAAGUUGAUAGAGCCUGAGGAACAACACACAAGGUUGUCAUCUUGUACACACCCAAGCAUACAAGUACAUGAACACUGGCAAACACAUUCACUUACACACAUGAACAUGCACACACAUGCAGCAAAUAGAGAGAAUAAAUUCUUUCCCCUUUCAGUCAUGCAUACCAAAGUACACACAGACAAAACCACAUAUUGCCUAGAAUUUCCUUUAAGACACCUCAACAGCACUGAUCAGUCCAUGGUCAGAGGACAGGGACUCUGUAUUUUCCAAUUUAGAAUACAGUCUCAGUCUAUUGCCCUUGUUGGGACUAAGUUAUCCUCCAGCCUGAGUCUCCCAAUUAACUGGAACUGUGGACACACAGUCUGCCCCUGGGCUAGGACCCUGUCUUUUUCAUCUGCAUUAGUCUAUUGCUCAAACAUAGCCUUCAACCCCCAAAGAUGAAAAGCUCCUGCUCCUUGAAAUCACUGAAAGACUCAUACAACUGUAUUCACACACCAUUGCUCCACCACAUCUAGCUGCAAGAGAGGCUAGGCAAUAUAGUUUCUACUCCAGAUCUCCUCCUAGUUGAAGCUUAAUUGAAUCUGUGUCUUAUUUUAGAAUUUCUAUUGCUGUGAAGAGACACCACGACCAUGGCAACUCUUAUAAAGGAAAACAUUUAAUUGGGGCUUGCUGUGGGAUGGUCUGUAUGUCAAAUGUGUUGCUGAUUGGUCAAUAAAUAAAUCACUGAUUUGGCCAGUGGCCAGGCAGGAAGUAUGGGCGGGACUAACAGAGAGGAGAAUUGAGAGAACAGGAAGCUGGGUGGGGGAGACACUGCCAGCCACCAUUAGGACAAGGAAGAUGUAAAGUACCGGUAAGCCACAAGCCACAUGGCAAGGUAUAGAUUAAUAGAAAUAAAUUAAUUUAAGCUGUAAGAACAGUUAGCAAGAAGCCUGCCACAGCCAUACAGUUUGAAACCAAUAUAAGUUUCUGUGUUUACUUGGCGGGUCUGAUGGCUGUGGGACUGGCGGGUGAGAGAAAUUUGUCCUGACUGUGGGCCAGGCAGGAAAACUCUAGCUACAGGGGCUGGCUUACAGCUCAGAGGUUUAGUCUAUUAUCAUCAUGGUGCAUGGUGGUAUUGUGUUCCCCAAAAUAUUGUUCACCCUAAUAAACUUAUCUGGGGUCAGAGACAGAACAGCCACUAGAUACAAAGGCUAGAAAAUGGUGGCACUCACACCUUUAAUCCUAACUCCAGAGGUAGAAAUCCCUCUGGAUCUCUGUGAGUUCAAGGCCACACUGGAAAUGGCCAGGCAUGGUGACACACGCCUUUAAUCCCAGAAAGUGAGCCUUUAAUCCCAGAAAGCAAGCCUUUAAUCCCAGGGAGUGGUGGUAGAAAGCAGAAAGGUAUAUAAGGCGUGAGGACCAGAAACUGGAAGCAUUUGGCUGGUUAAGCUUUCAGGCUUCUAGCAGCACAGUUCAGCUGAAAGCCAUUCAGAUAUGAGGACUCAGAGGCUUCCAGUCUAAGGAAACAAGACCAGCUGAGAAGUUGGCCAGGUGAGGUUAGCUGUGGCUUGUUCUGUCUCUCUGACCAUCCAGCAUUUCACCCCAAUAACUGGCCUCAGGUUUGAUUUUAUUAAUAAGAACUGUUAAAAAUUCCUGCUACAAUGGUGGGAAAUAGAGCAGACAUGGUGCUGGAAAAGGAGCUGAGAGUUCUACAUCUUCAUCUGUAGGCAGCAGGAAGAGACUGUGUCACACUAGGCCUAGCUUGAGCAUAUAAGACCUCAAAGCCCGCCCCCACAGUGACACACUUCCUCCAGCAAGGCCAUAUCUACUCCAACAAGGACACACCUCCUAAUAGUGCCACUCCCUAUGGGCUAAGCAUUCAAAUACUUGAGUCUGUGGUGGCCAUUCCUAUUCAAACCACCACAAUCUGUCUAUCAUCUAUCUUUCUAUCUAUCUGUCUGCCUGUCUAUCAUCUACCUACCUACUGAGCACCUUGAGAAAAAGUCAAGAGGUCAAGGCUGGUCCUGCAGAGACCGUUGCCCCUCUUCAAUGGAAAGCUCAUUGUCUUCAAUGUAAUGAUGUAGGAUAAUAAACCAGUUUCCUGCUGUUUCAAGUGUCACUCGGGUCUCUUUACAUUGGGGAACAUCUAUUGUAUUGGCACUCACUGAUAAACUAUUUAGACAAGGCAGCCUUCAAAUUGUGAAAGAAAUAGCCCAAGUGUCUGUGGAGCCGUCACAGCCCCA
Peromyscus californicus insignis is the source of this 4946-nucleotide long non-coding RNA. RefSeq lists it as uncharacterized. The transcript has 3 exons. Lineage: Eukaryota; Metazoa; Chordata; Mammalia; Rodentia; Cricetidae. The record is from RefSeq and is a predicted model, not a curated record.